RNAcentral lists this ribosomal RNA (212 nucleotides) under uncultured Anaerolineaceae bacterium. RNAcentral's name for it is "partial 16S ribosomal RNA". It matches the Rfam family "Bacterial small subunit ribosomal RNA", at positions 1172 to 1382 of the family's 1533-position model. The record is from RNAcentral. Lineage: Bacteria; Bacillati; Chloroflexota; Anaerolineae; Anaerolineales; Anaerolineaceae.
GGUGAGGAUGACGUCAAGUCAGCAUGACCUUUAUGUCCUGGGCUACACACACGCUACAAUGGGCAGCACAACAGGUAGCGAAGCCGCGAGGCGGAGCCAAUCCUCCAAAGCUGUCCUCAGUUCAGAUUGCAGGCUGCAACUCGCCUGCAUGAAGAUGGAGUUGCUAGUAAACGCGCGUCAGCUAUAGUGCGUUGAAUACGUUCCCGGGUCUU